This 360-nucleotide long non-coding RNA is filed under the name Linum usitatissimum (flax). RNAcentral's name for it is "long non-coding RNA (LUSI_LNC001270)". The record is from RNAcentral. Lineage: Eukaryota; Viridiplantae; Streptophyta; Magnoliopsida; Malpighiales; Linaceae.
CCUAACCGAUCGUUCAGAUGCCAUAGCGUUGUUAGAUUGUCCUGUUCCAAUUCCUCCGACGAGCAUCCGUCCCAUUUACAGUCACCACAGUUGUCGUCGCCGCUGCUGAAGGAAUCGCUGUCCCCAGCGGCGGACUCUGUUUCGUACCUGCCGCCGACGGCGGCAGCAGCGGUGCUGGUGAAGAUUUGGAUCGCGGAGAGGUACGGGACGUAGUACUGUACCAACGUCUCGCCGUCGCCGUCGCCAUUCAGAGAGAUGGGGACUCCGGCGCCGUAAGCGCUCCACUCGUCGUAGCAGCUCCAGAGAUCGGCGAGGGUGAAAUACUCGACGGUGUCUCUCUCCCACGGGUGCCACAGCCGG